This 1231-nucleotide unclassified non-coding RNA is filed under the name Amphibalanus amphitrite. Its description in RNAcentral is "post-GPI attachment to proteins factor 2-like, transcript variant X2". The record is from RNAcentral. Lineage: Eukaryota; Metazoa; Arthropoda; Thecostraca; Balanomorpha; Balanidae.
UCACGUGAUUGUCACGUGAUAUUUUCUCCCAUUGUCAAUUGUCACGUCCAAUUGUCACUCCCUCCAAUUGUCACGUGAUAUUUUUAUAGGCAAUAUGUAGGCGUUCAACUAGUGUUAAGAGUAAGAACUGCAACUUUCGGUGUUCGAUCGUAGAGGGCGGGCCUAUCUGCCUGCCGGCGGAGGUCGCUGACCGGUCGCAGGGCAGUGUGUGAUCGGAGCCGAGCGCAGAGAGUGCGGCACCUGUACUGAAGUGUUAUCUUGAUCGGGAAGCAAAUACAAGGCUGUCGUCGCCUCGGUCCGGGAGCGGAAAUUUCUGCAGCAAUGCGGCGCCGAGUCACGGUCCCGCCGGGUCUCCCCGCUAGUUGCGGAUGAAGCCGGAACAAAACGUCACCAGCCGGGUUCACCUAGAACCGUUCUUCGAAGGUCAGACCAGCCACGUUGGAACGAUGCUGUGGACAGAGCCGCAGGAAUACUUCAUCCAUGGCCGCAGCAUUUUCACCCAAUGGGGCCGGCAGAGCUGCGGCAUUUGACGCCCGGAAAACCGGUACCUCUCCUAACGGUGCACACACACACCGUUCCACUGGCACCUGGCUCCGGUGGGAAGCGGUGACGCAUGUCGGCCCCGGGGGACGUCUGAGUGCCUCCAGCCGGCCGUGAGACACGCCGCCGCCGCCGGCCGCCCCCGCCCAGAGCCGGAGUGACACGUGGCGAUCUCUGGCGACGCCGGACUAUGAGCCGUAGAUGUCUGGCGAGCCAGUUUAACUCGCCACGCCCGGGGAGCGCCGAGAGAAAGUGCCUGUUCCACCUGCACAGGUCACCUGAGGUCACGUGAGGUCAUCCACGUGUCAUGUGCCUUCUACCCGCGGCCCAGAAGUGCCACGUCAAUGGAAAGUCGGCUGAAAACUGCUGACCCGGGCCGCUGUCAGAUGACCACGUGGGGCCAGCGCCGGUCGUAACAGAGACAGGCGUCACAGUGACGUGACGCGCUCUGUGACGGGUCGCGUCACGCCGACCACCACGUCACGCACGUGGCUUGUGUGACGGCUCAGCUCAAGCUGCGACUGGCGGCUGUGCGACGAUUGAUUGAAUUUGCUUUUAUUAAAUAUUUCCUUGCUUAUACACUGGUCACUGUUGCAGUGAUGUUAUCAUCAACGAAAGUUUGUUUUCGCUUCUUGAUAUAUAGCAGUUGCUACUCGAGGGCAGCGCUUUUCGAGGAGCGCUGUGGCCCGAA